Molecule: long non-coding RNA, 851 nt
Organism: Zingiber officinale
Lineage: Eukaryota; Viridiplantae; Streptophyta; Magnoliopsida; Zingiberales; Zingiberaceae
Exons: 3
Source: RefSeq, a predicted model, not a curated record
UGCCCCUAGUGGACCGCUGAGGUGGUGGAUCAAAUAGAAAGGGUGUGGAUUGUGAAGGAGACAUGAACAGUGAAGGAAAAGGAUUAAGGAAUGGGGCAUGUGAAGGAAAUAGCCAUGAACGUGGUGGGGAAUGGAAGGGUGCAUGGCCAGCCAGUUAGCGUUGUCAGCAUCUCUUCUCGCCAAGGUUUGUCACAUCAUUGGCUUUGCAAAGAACAGCUGACACCACACGAAUCUAUCGACCGGCUCCUCGUUGAAUUUUCCUUUGGAGAGUCCUCUUUCAGCCAUCUAGUUCGAUCCGGGUUUGAUUCCAAGCCAUUUGUAUUAAUCAAUCAGCAGCAGCUAGAUGACUAUUCGAUUCCGACUAGAUAAAUGCCAACCAUCCAUAUCGUUUUGGACAGCCGAGAUUGAUCGGCUCGGAUCAUGCAGCAUUACAGGUUCCUUUCGCACAGGGACAACAUCCAGAAGGCCUCACCAGCUCCACUGAUAAAGAGGCAAAGGGCAAAGAGAACACAACACUAUGGAAGCCUCCAUAGAAUUUAUGUUCUUGGUAGUAUGUCCUGCUGCUUCCAUUGAUCUGGCAAUAAAGGUACGCCUGUUAAUUCUUUGGUAUGGAUUCUAUUAUCCUCAUUGUGCAUGAUGGUGCCUGUUAAGUUUGGUUUUCUUUCUAAUCUCCAUAGGAUUGUUCGGUUAUUCAGUUCAAACUCUAAAUCAUCUUUAGAUUAGGAUAUAAGUUUCACCUUCCUCAACAUGGCUUGUGAAACUAGGAGCAAGUAACUGUAAGUUCGUGUUAACAAUAGACUAUGGAUCGUUAAUUCUACUCAAUGACACUCUUUAUUUUGAUCGAGUGUUAA